This is a non-coding RNA of Pelobates cultripes (western spadefoot toad), 259 nucleotides long. Lineage: Eukaryota; Metazoa; Chordata; Amphibia; Anura; Pelobatidae. The record is from the annotation of a GenBank genome assembly.
CCUGGAUGUUAUUGUCCUCCAGAACUUGGCGAAUAGGUAGUCCAGCUUGGCCAUGAGAUCAGGCUUCUCUGCGUUCCGGGCACACGUGGUAGCAGCCAUUUUGCUUGGCUUCUUCCUGCUGCUCGCAGAGUUCCACCUUUGAGGCCUUUGCAGGAGGGUUGCCUCUCAGGAUUUGACCAGGAUAUCCCCCACCGGUCCAGCGGCGGGGGAGAAGGGCGUCGGUGGGUAUGUACCUCCAAUGUAUGGGCAAGGAGAGCGG